CGGGGGAGGCCGGAUCCUGGGCUGUGUCCCGGCGCCCUGUGCUCUGGGUCUGCGCUGUUGGAUUCACGCUCCCGCCCCGCAGCCCCCC
RNAcentral lists this microRNA precursor (88 nucleotides) under Canis lupus familiaris (dog). RNAcentral's name for it is "mir-8799 microRNA precursor family". It matches the Rfam family "mir-8799 microRNA precursor family". RNAcentral also lists the same sequence under 1 other name. The record is from Rfam by way of RNAcentral. Lineage: Eukaryota; Metazoa; Chordata; Mammalia; Carnivora; Canidae.